RNAcentral lists this ribosomal RNA (689 nucleotides) under Bacillus sp. Y1252_1. Its description in RNAcentral is "bacterial SSU rRNA". It matches the Rfam family "Bacterial small subunit ribosomal RNA", at positions 51 to 723 of the family's 1533-position model. Lineage: Bacteria; Bacillati; Bacillota; Bacilli; Caryophanales; Bacillaceae. The record is from RNAcentral.
CUAUAAUGCAGUCGAGCGGACAGAUGGGAGCUUGCUCCCUGAAGUCAGCGGCGGACGGGUGAGUAACACGUGGGCAACCUGCCUGUAAGACUGGGAUAACUCCGGGAAACCGGGGCUAAUACCGGAUAAUUCUUUCCCUCACAUGAGGGAAAGCUGAAAGAUGGUUUCGGCUAUCACUUACAGAUGGGCCCGCGGCGCAUUAGCUAGUUGGUGAGGUAACGGCUCACCAAGGCAACGAUGCGUAGCCGACCUGAGAGGGUGAUCGGCCACACUGGGACUGAGACACGGCCCAGACUCCUACGGGAGGCAGCAGUAGGGAAUCUUCCGCAAUGGACGAAAGUCUGACGGAGCAACGCCGCGUGAGUGAUGAAGGUUUUCGGAUCGUAAAACUCUGUUGUUAGGGAAGAACAAGUACCGGAGUAACUGCCGGUACCUUGACGGUACCUAACCAGAAAGCCACGGCUAACUACGUGCCAGCAGCCGCGGUAAUACGUAGGUGGCAAGCGUUGUCCGGAAUUAUUGGGCGUAAAGCGCGCGCAGGCGGUUCCUUAAGUCUGAUGUGAAAGCCCCCGGCUCAACCGGGGAGGGUCAUUGGAAACUGGGGAACUUGAGUGCAGAAGAGAAGAGUGGAAUUCCACGUGUAGCGGUGAAAUGCGUAGAGAUGUGGAGGAACACCAGUGGCGAAGGCG